RNAcentral lists this ribosomal RNA (257 nucleotides) under uncultured bacterium. RNAcentral describes it as "partial 16S ribosomal RNA". It matches the Rfam family "Bacterial small subunit ribosomal RNA", at positions 793 to 1055 of the family's 1533-position model. The record is from RNAcentral.
GUCCACGCCCUAAACGAUGUCUACUUGCUGUUGGGGGUAACCUUAGUAGCGAAGCUAACGCGAGAAGUAGACCGCCUGGGGAGUACGGUCGCAAGAUUAAAACUCAAAGGAAUUGACGGGGACCCGCACAAGCGGUGGAUGAUGUGGAUUAAUUCGAUGCAACGCGAAAACCUUACCUGCUCUUGACAUGUACGGAAGAUUUCAGAGAUGAGAUUGUGCCUUCGGGAACCGUAACACAGGUGCUGCAUGGCUGUCGU